RNAcentral lists this ribosomal RNA (381 nucleotides) under uncultured bacterium. Its description in RNAcentral is "bacterial SSU rRNA". It matches the Rfam family "Bacterial small subunit ribosomal RNA", at positions 521 to 896 of the family's 1533-position model. The record is from RNAcentral.
UAAGACAGAGGAGGCAAGCGUUGUCCGGAUUGACUGGGCGUAAAGCGCACGCAGGUGGUACGCCAAGUGGUGUGUGAAAUCCGUCGGCUCAACCGACGGCGGCCAUGCCAAACUGGCGCACUCGAGCCAUGCAGAGGUCGGUGGAAUUGCCGGUGUAGUGGUGAAAUGCGUAGAGAUCGGCAGGAACACCCAGGGGGAAACCAGCCGACUGGGCAUGGGCUGACACUGAGGUGCGAAAGCGUGGGGAGCGAACUGGAUUAGAUACCCAGGUAGUCCACGCCAUAAACGAUGGAUGCUCGGCAUUUGGCAUCUCUCAAACGAUGCUGGGUGCCUGAGGUAACCCGUUAAGCAUCCCGCCUGGGAACUACGAGCGCAAGCUUA